UAAUGACGAACAGAAAAGAUGGU
Molecule: non-coding RNA, 23 nt
Filed under: Arabidopsis thaliana (thale cress)
Lineage: Eukaryota; Viridiplantae; Streptophyta; Magnoliopsida; Brassicales; Brassicaceae
Source: RNAcentral